Gymnodraco acuticeps is the source of this 2924-nucleotide long non-coding RNA. RefSeq lists it as uncharacterized. The record is from RefSeq and is a predicted model, not a curated record. The transcript is spliced from 2 exons. NCBI's taxonomy places the organism in Eukaryota, Metazoa, Chordata, Actinopteri, Perciformes, Bathydraconidae.
CCUAAAUGGACAGGACCCCUGAAGCCAGGGCCAAGACACCCAAAGCAGCCAAGCCGUCCAAAAAAGACUCUAACAAUGAGUGGAAAACCACAUUCUUGUCAAGCAAGACCUCCUUCACCAAAGGCAGGGUUUCAAUCCUGAGGACUAAGUAUGCCAUCUCCUGGGGUAAUUCCUCGAUCUCCUGGAGCAGAACCACCGUAACUUUGGGCAACACCAUUGUAGCGGUGGGCAAAACCUCUGUCACACGAGGGGAGAACACCAGCUCUCUCGCUACUCUGACCUUCACCCAUGGGACCAAGUCUGUGUCAGUGAUUAAAACCACCCUCAUCAGGGGCAAAGAAACGCACAGCAACAUCUACUGGAAUUUUCACACAUGAUUCCGCCCCACAGUUUAAAACCCAAGGAUAUUUCUAUCUGCUCAGUUUUAGCAGUCUUGGCAUAACCAGCAGGAUCAGAUGACACAGGCAGACUCCUCACUGGCCGCAGCAUUGUGUAACACCAGCCAGUGCUGUUGUUUAUCGUCCUGGACUGUCGGGGGAGACGUCCUGUACUGGAUCUGCACAGACAGCCACAAUAAAGAAUGCUGUGCGCUUUGAUAAAUAUUAAGACAAGAAAUUAGAAAAUAUGGCCCAAUAAAAAUAGAAAAGACUUAAAAAUGCAACUUCAGCAGGGUGUGUCUCUCUCUCACCGGCCCCGUCUGUGAAUUGGCGUCCAAGCAAAGUGUUUCAUGGUCAGAGGAGGUGAAUAGGGAUUAAUGUGCAGUGAGGACAGUGAGGGCAUUGGGCGGGAAGUGAUGAGAGUGUAAAGCAGGUGUUCGUAGGGUGAAAUGAAGAAUAACAGGGUGUCACAGAGAAAUUGCUGGUGGGAGAGAAGGCUGAUCCUAUGCUGAGAUAAAAAAAAAUGGUCAUACCUGCAUAUAUUACUGCUGUAAUUUCACAUACUUGAUGGUAUAAUGAAUAGGAAAUAGGGGAAGAAUGCAAAAAAGGCUGCACAAAAUCUGAACUAUAACACAUUGUCAUUCCAGACAUGAAAAUAGUUGUUUUUAUUGUUUCUUUCAAAUUAAACUGAGAGGUGGAAUGUGGCACCUUUUACUUUUGUUUGGGAUUUGCACAAGACAUUUUGUUUUCCUCUCAGGCCACGCCCCCAGAAGGGCUCAAACCUUAGCCAAUAUGCAGCACAUCGCAAAGGGAUAACACCUUACAUCAAACCUGUCAACUCUCACUCAUCUUAUCUAUUUUUUCUCAGGUUCCUCGUGUCCACGGCAACACUGCUCCUCCUGUCAUGGACCACUUAGCCAGACACAAGCAACAAAACAGUACAUUUUGAAAUAUAUCACAGACCAACAAGUCACCUUUAAACAUAGUGCCUUGUGAUGUUAAACAAUGUUUUGGCUCGGGUAAAUAAACUAUAGAUGGAUGGAAAUUCCCAAUGACUAAAAGAGAAAGAUUCAGCCCUCCCAUGUUAACAUAAACCUGUUGCUAGUGGCAACAGCAGAGACACUGCAGAUCACAAUGACACUGCUGUCACCAUGGACAUGAUAAAUACAUCACAAGUCUUUCUAAAGCCAUUAAGACAAAGCCCCUCUGAUUUGUUCUGAUGUGGUCAGGUAUUAAACAUUAUUAUAGCUAAAAUCUUUAAGGUCAAAGUAUAAAAUGUAAGUAUUGUUCUGGUGAAAGCAUUUGGAUAAACUCAAAAAGGCCUGAAUAUUCUGCUUAAUAGACAUUUUUAAAUCUGUACAACUGACUUUGUUAUUCUAAAUUUUAAAUAUUUGUGUGUUUAAGUCUCUGAAACUGUUCCCUGUGGUGAUGCAAAUGUUUGAUCAGGUUUUUCUUUAUUAUACACAAAUGUCUAUUGCUGUGCAUAUGUGUUUUUAAGAGGACACUUGUCAACACAAGGCACUGAAACAUUGAGCAGAUCUCUGUGCCUGGUGCUGGUGACCCACAUUAUGCCAGAUCAUGUGAAUACACUUUCUUUUUCUGAUAUGCCAGUUUGUUUUUGUUAUGACUUCCAUUAACAGACAGGGGAACAUGUGACAUUUCUGGACCCUAGACCUAAGCAAAAACAGACCCCUUUUUUCUGAAGUUCCACAAAAAGACAUAUAACUAUAUCCAACGACUUGUUGGGAAAUGUUAAUCUCUGUGUGUGCCGAUGGUAUUUUAGAUGUGUAUGAUGUGACACUGAGGGAAAAGAGGUCAUACUUUAUAUACACACAAACAGUUAUAAGGGGGAAAUAAAGGCUUGGCCUGCACUAAUCUAGCACUAACGUCAGCUCAGUUACUGUGGCCAGGCAGCAGUUAGAGCUGUGAAGGUAAAUGUGUCUCAGCAGCAGCACAGAGCCUGGAUCCUGUGCUGCACCAACAAGACGCCCAGUCUGCUUUAAUGCACAGCUACUGCUGAUUCAGGAUCUCUCUCCUAAGAGAUCGUACAAACAACUUUUGACUACUUGAAUCAUCUCUGACCAGAAUGGCAUCAAGAAGAAACACAUUUUGCUUUAAACAGGUCAGGAAGUACAUGAAAGAUGCAGAUGCAGCGACACAGACACGCCUGGAAGAAGAUGCCCUCCAACUGAACCUAAUCAAUGUCAUGUAGUUCAUUAGAAGAUGGAAAGAACAUGUAGUAAGCAUUACUGAUGGAAAGCUGUUUAAGAUUUAUUUAUGUCUUGUCUUGUCUGUUUGUCUUUAAAAAGCCUAAAUUAUUAAACUGGUUAUUAAACUAGGGUCAGGCCAACCCGAAAACAACAAUGUUUUUGUUCUCUUGCUAAACUUUCUCUGUUUUGUAAGUCAAUUGUGAUACUUUUCUUUCUUUGCAGGCAUGCUAUGUGUUUCAUUGUGUGUUUAGCUUUACUGUACCUGUCACUAAAAUGCAGACAGGGCCUUGGAUAGAAAGGUACUGGAAUAAAAACGCUUGAUUGCUUGUCUAUUUAA